AUGACGAUGAAGGACACACAGAGGAGUGUGAGCGGUGAUGGUACCAAGGUUACCGGCAGGUAUGCAUGCAGGAACUGACUGUACAGUGUUCCUAUAAUGCUACUGGUUUUAACGUCUGUACUGUGAUGCUACUGGCAGUUUAAAUAAAUCUGCUAUCAUUUGGGAUGUGAGUUGUCACAACUCGCUGUGCUCUGGUGUUCAGCUCAGAAUUUCUUUUGGGAAUGAUUCCUCUGAAUAGACUACUUAUGCUUGACAUUUUACUUUUGUUAUUUCUAUUUGUAACUCAAUUUCGGUAUCCUCUCAAAUUGACAAUACUUUUUCUGGAUAUGGUAGUUGAGAAUAGUUAUGGUAUAUAGCGGAGUUAGCCCAUCCUCACCAAUGACUCUUCCUCAGGGAUUUGCUGAACUAGAGUUAGUAAUGGGGGUAUUGCAGACUGUUUAGAAUUAUGGGGGUAUUGCAGACUUUAGAAACUGAAUUAAAUUUUUGUGCAAUUGAAAAAGGUGUAUACAACUUGAAUUUAUUAGGUAGUAUAGGAGAGAUAUGAAAUUUUAAAAUUGUUAGUCAGAUUUGUGUGUUGUUUUGGGUAGUAUUCAGUUUUGUUCCAUCUUAGAGGCCAAUAAUGCACAUGUGAUAUUAUCUACAUAAUUCAGUUUAUACGGCUUCCCAUAUUCCAAUGGUUGUAUUUUGCUAAAUUGCCAUCUACUUACUGGAAUUCUCACAAAUAGAAGUGCAGUCAGAAGGUAAAAAGGAUGGUAUGGUAUGUCUCCAUUCACAUGGUACUGAACUGUUAGUGAUUCUUUGUGUUAUUCUGCAGACUUGAACUUAGUUUCUAUGGUUUUCUUUUUCUGUUCAUAGACGAGAGUAUAGUCUGAAGGGAAAAAUUGGUAUGCUCUGAAGGGUGUGCAAGAACAGUGAUUCUUCAUGAUAAUUUUCUGUAGAGGAACAUUUUUGCGAUGGGGCUGGGAACGGUGAUCGGUGGUGCUGGUGUCGGCAGUGCGGUACAAGGUCAGGAUGCGGGAUGGGACGGCCAUCCGUGUGAGGCAGUCGGCGGCGAGGGUUUGUGGCAUCACGAGGAGCGCCCGCGGAUUCAAGGUGUUGGCCCGAGACCUCCGACGAGGGAGGAGACGAUGUUAGUAUUUCCAUAGGAAAAAAACAAGAGAAGAAGAACAAGAACAACGACGGCAAUCUCGGGUUCCAGGUACGAUGGAGCCGGCGGCGAAGCGCAUGGCGCUCGCAAACGUGAUAGUGGAUGGCGACGAUACCCUCAACUGCGGCAUCUGCUACCUCCCUCUCAAGCCACCAGUCUUCUAGUGUGGCGUCGGUCAUACCAUAUCCUCGCGGUGCCGCGACAAGAUGGUGGCGGCAAGGAGGUGCCGUGUGUGUCACAUCCGGUUGACCGGCGGCUAUCGCUGGAACAUCGCACUAGAGAGGCUAACAGAGUCCAUCCGGGUGCCGUGCGCCAACGCCGCCCACGGCUGCACUGCCACGCCGGCCUACUAUGACCACCCCGACCACCUCAAGGCGUGCCCUCACGACGCCGUGCUAUUGCCCGCAGGCAGACUGCGGUUUCGCUAGCUCCACGGCGGCACUCCUGGACCACUUUGCUGACACGCACGGGUGGCCGUGCAUGACCGAGCUUGGGCCUGGGCGUGCAUCGAGGUCCAGCUCUGUGACGGCUUCAACGCCUUCUCGGCCCGUGCCCAAUGCCGGCAGUACCUGUUCCUGCUGAACGUGGCGUUGAACCCGUUUGGCCGAGCGGUCUCCGUGCUCUCCCUGCAUCCUCGGGCGUUGUCGGCGGCGCCAUGUUCUUUGGAGUUCGAGGUAAGACUCAGGUACUGCUGCAACAUCAACCACCGUGGCGACACCAGGAAACUACGUUUAAAGUAGGGUGCACUGAUCUCUCCGAACUCAGAUUUAUGACAAGGACACAAGCAAAUUUAUAGCAUCCGUUGUGAUGAUACAAGGGAAGUAAGCAUAGAUGCGCUCAACGUGAUGAUAGAUGGGAGAGCUCGGCCUAUGCUGCCAACUGAUCUGCAGCGGUGCAGAAGGAGAUUUCAAAAGCAGGGCAAGCGAGAGCGACUGUUCUAUUGAUGGUCAAAGGGAGGGCUUGGCAAGAGAGAUUGAGGGAGCUCUACUACCUCGAUCUUGGCAUAGAACCUGAUGGCAUCAUGCCCAGGAAACUUCCUUCUUCAGUAUGAAUGGGGAUUUAUAUGACACCAAAAGAGAAGUCCGGCGUGUUUCUUGGUUCUAUGGAAGCCCUCGACCGGAAGCAAAUAGAUCACAUCGCAAGUUGCUUGCCCAAUAUAAUCGUGCCGCAAGUUACCAACAUCGUGUGCUUAUACACCAUCGACUUUGCUGGAAAUCUAUCUGUCCGUGCUCCACCGUCUGUCGGAACUUCUUCUGCCCAUGCUACACCUGAGCUCAACACUGCAUCGCCCGGUUCGUUUGCUUGCUUCCUUUGCUUGGCUCAGGAAGGAGAAGGCCAGGACUAGCGACAAGAACCUAAGGGUCUUGCGUCACGGCCUUUGCCCAGAAGGCGAAGAACUAAAACUAAUUUUUUUUUACCUUCCAAAAAAUUACAUGAUACAUAACUACUCCCUCCG
Aegilops tauschii subsp. strangulata is the source of this 2603-nucleotide non-coding RNA. The record is from RefSeq and is a predicted model, not a curated record. Lineage: Eukaryota; Viridiplantae; Streptophyta; Magnoliopsida; Poales; Poaceae.